RNAcentral lists this ribosomal RNA (494 nucleotides) under uncultured bacterium. RNAcentral describes it as "bacterial SSU rRNA". It matches the Rfam family "Bacterial small subunit ribosomal RNA", at positions 8 to 518 of the family's 1533-position model. The record is from RNAcentral.
AGAGUUUGAUUAUGGCUCAGGACGAACGCUGGCGGCGUGCUUAACACAUGCAAGUCGAGCGAUGAAGCUCCUUCGGGAGUGGAUUAGCGGCGGACGGGUGAGUAACACGUGGGUAACCUGCCUCAUAGAGGGGAAUAGCCUUUCGAAAGGAAGAUUAAUACCGCAUAAGAUUGUAGUACCGCAUGGUACAGCAAUUAAAGGAGUAAUCCGCUAUGAGAUGGAUCCGCGUCGCAUUAGCUAGUUGGUGAGGUAACGGCUCACCAAGGCGACGAUGCGUAGCCGACCUGAGAGGGUGAUCGGCCACAUUGGGACUGAGACACGGCCCAGACUCCUACGGGAGGCAGCAGUGGGGAAUAUUGCACAAUGGGGGAAACCCUGAUGCCAGCAACGCCGCGUGAGUGAUGACGGCCUUCGGGUUGUAAAACUCUGUCUUUGGGGACGAUAAUGACGGUACCCAAGGAGGAAGCCACGGCUAACUACGUGCCAGCAGCAGC